AGAGUUUGAUCAUGGCUCAGAACGAACGCUGGCGGCAGGCCUCAAACAUGCAAGUCUAGGGGGCGUAGCAAUACGUCACCGGCGGACGGGUGCGUAACACGUGGGAAUGUACUUAUUGGUUCGGAACAACUCAGGGAAACUUGAGCUAAUACCGAAUGUGCCCGAAAGGGGAAAGAUUUAUCGCCAAUAAAUCAGCCCGCGUCCGAUUAGCUAGUUGGUGGGGUAAAGGCCCACCAAGGCGACGAUCGGUAGCUGUUCUGAGAGGAAGAUCAGCCACACUGGGACUGAGACACGGCCCAGACUCCUACGGGAGGCAGCAGUUGGGAAUCUUGGACAAUGGGGGAAACCCUGAUCCAGCCAUGCCGCGUGAGUGAUGAAGGCCUUCGGGUUGUAAAACUCUUUCGACGGGGACGAUAAUGACGGUACCCGUAGAAGAAGCUCCGGCUAACUUCGUGCCAGCAGCCGCGGUAAUACGAAGGGGGCUAGCGUUGUUCGGAAUUACUGGGCGUAAAGCGUGCGCAGGCGGUCUUCCAAGUCAGUGGUGAAAGCCCGGAGCUCAACUCCGGAACUGCCAUUGAAACUGUGAGACUCGAGUACGAGAGAGGUGAGUGGAAUUCCCAGUGUAGAGGUGAAAUUCGUAGAUAUUGGGAAGAACACCGGUGGCGAAGGCGGCUCACUGGCUCGUAACUGACGCUCAGGCACGACAGCGUGGGGAUCAAACAGGAUUAGAUACCCUAGUAGUCC
This 744-nucleotide ribosomal RNA is filed under the name uncultured bacterium. Its description in RNAcentral is "bacterial SSU rRNA". It matches the Rfam family "Bacterial small subunit ribosomal RNA", at positions 8 to 796 of the family's 1533-position model. The record is from RNAcentral.